Long non-coding RNA from Odocoileus virginianus texanus, 749 nucleotides. RefSeq lists it as uncharacterized. The record is from RefSeq and is a predicted model, not a curated record. NCBI's taxonomy places the organism in Eukaryota, Metazoa, Chordata, Mammalia, Artiodactyla, Cervidae.
UUAGCCCUUGACAGUGAAGCACCCAGGGUGUGUCAGACACUAUUCUAUACAUCACGGAUUUCAUUGUGAUCAAGACUGUCUGGGUACUUGUUUCCAUGGAGCUGUUAUUCUAGUGGGGCACUCUGACAACAAGUAUGUAAACAAAUAAGAUAAUUUAGAAGGUUAUAUAUGCCAUAAAUAAAGGAGUGAAUUUGAGAUAAGACUUGGAGGGGGGGUGCUGUUAGAUAUGGAGAUCGUGGAAUCAGCAUUUGAUCUGAAGCCUGAAAAGGGAAGGGAUGUCAGAGAGUCAAAAUCAUGAAGGAAAGAGUUUCAGGCAGAGACAGCGGCAAGUGCACAGAUCCUGAGGCAGGAAAUCCAGGCUUCUCUGGGGAAAGAAGAAAGAAUAAGGUGCCUGGAAAAGACUGGGCAGAGAGAGGACUGAAUAGGACUUACUUGUUCCAGGGCAUACAACUAGAGGUGUCGGACUGAAAUCUGACCCAUGCAUUAUUCUGGGGAUAUCACGGUGAAUAACAUACACAAGAUAUUUGUUUCAACAAAUGGAUAUCCAAGCUGAGGAAAUAAAAAGUUGGAUAAGAGUCUGUGGAUGCUGUGGAGCUUGAGAGGAUGGGGGAGAGAGGUUAGCAGUCACCACUGACAGUUGGCCAUGUCCUGAGUGCCUCACGCAGCGUGAAGGUGGAAGUGGUGGGGGAAGGCUCAGAACCCCAGCUUCUGCAAAACCAAGUGAAGGCUGGACACACCUGGCGAUGCUG